This 253-nucleotide ribosomal RNA is filed under the name uncultured bacterium. RNAcentral's name for it is "partial 16S ribosomal RNA". It matches the Rfam family "Bacterial small subunit ribosomal RNA", at positions 524 to 776 of the family's 1533-position model. The record is from RNAcentral.
UACGUAGGGGGCUAGCGUUGUCCGGAAUCAUUGGGCGUAAAGAGCGCGUAGGCGGCUAGAUAAGUCCGGUGUGAAAGUCACAGGCUCAACCUGUGAAUGCCGCUGGAAACUGUCUGGCUAGAGUCCGGAAGGGGCGAGUGGAAUUCCUGGUGUAGCGGUGAAAUGCGCAGAUAUCAGGAGGAACACCAGUGGCGAAGGCGGCCUUCUGGGCCUAUCCUGACGCUGAGGAGCGAAAGCGUGGGGAGCAAACCGG